Molecule: unclassified non-coding RNA, 331 nt
Filed under: soil metagenome
Description: partial contains 5.8S ribosomal RNA, internal transcribed spacer 2, and large subunit ribosomal RNA
Rfam family: 5.8S ribosomal RNA (bases 1-120)
Source: RNAcentral
GAUGAAGAACGUAGCGAAAUGCGAUAAGUAAUGUGAAUUGCAGAAUUCAGUGAAUCAUCGAAUCUUUGAACGCACAUUGCGCCCCCUGGUAUUCCGGGGGGCAUGCCUGUUCGAGCGUCAUUUCACCACUCAAGCCUCGCUUGGUAUUGGGCAACGCGGUCCGCCGCGUGCCUCAAAUCGACCGGCUGGGUCUUCUGUCCCCUAAGCGUUGUGGAAACUAUUCGCUAAAGGGUGUUCGGGAGGCUACGCCGUAAAACAACCCCAUUUCUAAGGUUGCCCUCGGAUCAGGUAGGGAUACCCGCUGAACUUAAGCAUAUCAAUAAGCGGAGGA